CUGUGUAGCCCAGGCUAUGCAAGACCUCCAUCUGUAGACCAGGCUGGCCACCAACUCAGAGAUCUGACUGCUUUUGCUUCAGAACCUGGCUGUCUUUUCAGGCAGGCUCUCUCAACAAAGCACAAGCUGGCAUCAAACUUACCAUAAGGCAUGAUUGGAAAGGAGAAAGGAAGGCUUUUUUCCUGACAGAACCCUACCAGAGCAGAGGAGACGAACACACCCAUCGCUGACACCAGGCAUCUACCCAUGCAGGAGC
Molecule: long non-coding RNA, 256 nt
Organism: Acomys russatus (golden spiny mouse)
Lineage: Eukaryota; Metazoa; Chordata; Mammalia; Rodentia; Muridae
Exons: 3
Source: RefSeq, a predicted model, not a curated record